GUGGGGAAUCUUGCGCAAUGGGCGAAAGCCUGACGCAGCCAUGCCGCGUGAAUGAUGAAGGUCUUAGGAUUGUAAAAUUCUUUCACCGGGGACGAUAAUGACGGUACCCGGAGAAGAAGCUCCGGCUAACUUCGUACCAGCAGCCGCGGUAAUACGAAGGGGGCUAGCGUUGCUCGGAAUUACUGGGCGUAAAGGGCGCGUAGGCGGACAGCUUAGUCAGAGGUGAAAGCCCAGGGCUCAACCUUGGAAUUGCCUUUGAUACUGGCUGUCUUGAGUUUGGGAGAGGUGAGUGGAACUCCGAGUGUAGAGGUGAAAUUCGUAGAUAUUCGGAAGAACACCAGUGGCGAAGGCGACUCACUGGCCCAAUACUGACGCUGAGGCGCGAAAGCGUGGGGAGCAAACAGGAUUAGAUACCCCGGUAGUCC
RNAcentral lists this ribosomal RNA (425 nucleotides) under uncultured bacterium. Its description in RNAcentral is "partial 16S ribosomal RNA". It matches the Rfam family "Bacterial small subunit ribosomal RNA", at positions 354 to 796 of the family's 1533-position model. The record is from RNAcentral.